AUGAAGCAACACAGAUUGAUAGGGAACGGGAAGCGGAAGAAUCCUGUAGAUUCUGCUGGUACUGAUGGUGCAAUAGAAGGUCAAAGUCUAGCGGAAAAUUGUACAAACAGUGUUUUUGGUGCUACACGAGCUGUAGAACAAGCCCAACAGAAACAAGUAGCGGCCACCAAACAAGCAGAGAUAGCCCUAGUUGUUGCAGCACCUUCCACCGUACCACCAGCUACACGAUUUACUCGUUGGUCAACUCAGCUAGUAGCAUGUUCCCAAGCUCCCUUGCCACCUGACACUACUUCCAAAGCACUCUUGACACAAGAUGAGUUGGCAAGAUUAGAUGAACUUUGUGAUCUUGAACAGGAAGAAGCACCUAGGCACAAGAGGAAACAAACAUCAGGGAUAAUGCUCGAUAGGUUAACUAAAUCAAGAGGAGGAAGAAUGGAUAUCCGUUUUGAGGCAGGUUUAAAAAGGCCACGUGAUGAUACAAAGUCAGCCAAGUUAGUAUCAGAGGCAGCGGUUGCCGUUAGGUGUCAUGUACGUAUCCUCCCAACAUGGAAUCAGUACAGGAAUGACAAAGAUGAACCCUAG
Molecule: ribosomal RNA, 582 nt
Filed under: Triticum aestivum (bread wheat)
Lineage: Eukaryota; Viridiplantae; Streptophyta; Magnoliopsida; Poales; Poaceae
Description: partial small subunit ribosomal RNA
Source: RNAcentral